Molecule: long non-coding RNA, 2809 nt
Filed under: Gossypium barbadense (sea-island cotton)
Lineage: Eukaryota; Viridiplantae; Streptophyta; Magnoliopsida; Malvales; Malvaceae
Description: long non-coding RNA (GBAR_LNC001064)
Source: RNAcentral
GCGAAUAAAUAUUACAAUAAUGAAUUAUAAAAGAAUGAAAAUACGAAUAAAGAAUUAUAAAAUACAAUGGCAAUAAUCAUACAACACAUAUUGUUUGGCAUCAAUAUUAACGAUAAAAAAUGAAACAAAAUAAUACAUAUAAAACCACUUGAAGUAACUAGUAUAAAACAAUUUAAAACAAAUAAUAUACAAAGCAAAUUGAAAUAAAUGAAAGAUAAUUUUAGACUAAUAAUGUAUAUAGAAAAACAUGUUUAAAGUAGACACUACUAAAAGGAAUUUAAAACAAUUUGAAAUUAUGAAUGUACAAAACAAUAAAAUAAUGCAUAGAAUAACUAAAAUAAAUAAUUUAUAAAGUAAUUUGAAAUAACAUAUAAAGAGUUUACGACAAAUAUUUGAAACAAGUAAUAUAUGAAACAAUAUAUAAGCAAUAUAAGAAAUCUCAAAAUAAAUAAUAAAAGAUUUACAAUAAACAAUAAGAGGGGCUUAAAACAGUUAACCUAUAAAACAAUAUCAUUAAACAACAUAUAAAAUUCAAGAUAGACAAUAUAUACAAUAGUUCAAAAUAUAAUAAUAUAUAACAAAACGGUUUAAAGUAAAAAUUGCGGGGUGAAAAUCGUAAAUAAUAGAAGUUGCUAGGGACUAAAAUGGGACGUGCGAGAAAGAACGAGGGCAAAUGGGUAAUUAUCCCCGGACUCUCUCUUUAAACGCACCGUUUCAGGUGGUCAGAUAGUCGAAGGACUAAAAUGAAACCAAACCAAAGUUGUAAGACGAAAUUAAAAAAAGAAAUAAGCUUAAAUCAAAAACAGGCAAAAAGCGGAGGGGCCAAAUAUGUAAAUUUCCCCUCCAUGCCAAAACACGCGGAUCCUGGGGGAUAUCCUGGUCGGAUUUCGGGUCAUGGACUAAAACGGCACCGUUUUGGCACCUGAAUCUCAGGCCCAAAACGACGUCGUAUGGGCAUUGUAUUAAACCUCAAUUUUUUACAAAAAAAAUCAUUUUAUCAAACCAAAACAAAAAAAAACCCCUCUCCCUCUUAUCUAUUAGGGUUUCGAAAGAACCCUUCUUGACCCGCCGUCACCUAUCCGACACCAUACGCGGUGGCCGGCGUUCAGAAAACUGUCCCUUUCGGCCGAUCCAACCUCUCCAAUCUCGACCUAAGGGUAACGUACCCCAAACUACCCACAAAAAUUUGAAAACAAAAGCGAAAAUGAAGAGAGAAUGAAGGGGCCUUUCGGCUCCCUAAGAACGCCAGCGGGAUUUUCAUUCGAGUCCCCUGACUCGGCGACCUCCGAGGCCGGAGAAAGCUCCAAGCACGGCGCUAAAGGUAGCGGAUUUUGCCCCUCUCACUUUUAUUUAAUAUUAUUAUUUAUUUCAAACUAAAAAAUAGAAAUCGAAGAACCUUAAUCUUCUUUGAAUUCGUUUUUUGUAUUUGAUCUCUUUUGUAUUUGAUUGAUAUUCUCCGUUUUUGAAUAUUGAAAAUCCCCCCUAAAAUACAAUCAGUUCCUCUUCCCUUUUACAUCAUGCUCAUCUUUUCUCUUAUAACCGAAAAAGAAAAUAGCAAAAUACAAUAUUUUUUGCUUUGCUGUUGUCUGUCUUUUCUUGCUUGUUGCUUUGGUUUUGCAGGUGUCAGAGGAGUGCUAGGCGGUGGCAUGUGGGCAACGUUCGGCGGUAGGCAUGCUGGCCUAGGUACGGCUCCUGGCUUAGGUAGCUUUAGGUUUUUUUGUUUGUUUCUGAUUUGGGCUGUGUACUUUGGGUUUGGGUUUUAGGUUUUUGGGCCUGCUGGGCCAUUGUAAAAAAUGGACCGUUUAUUAUUUUAUUUUGGUUUUUGGUUUAUGGGCCCGGGCAAAUUUGGACCUCUACAAUUAUUACAUUACAUUUAUUUAAAAUGUAAAUGUCGGAAAAACCAAAUUACUAUGACAACAACUAGCAUUACAAGUAACAAGGCAAAGAUCAAACUCUAUUUUUCAGUCUUGAGUUUUUCUGCUAAUGAAGUGAUAAAUUUCAAAUAUGAUUAGGUCUAAAUUGCUACAUGGGCCAUUCCAACCAAUGCUGUAGAGAAUCGGGUGCUACACAAUUCCAGUGGAUAAUAUAUUUGCACUUUGACUUUAAGCAUUCAAGAGCCAAAUUUUCACAAGGAUUACCGCAUCCAUCACAAUUAGGGUAGUAAUACUUCUUCACAAUGGUGAUUGGGUGUGGAUGAUUUGUUCCUUCAUAAAUGUUUCUGAGUUUGAGGAAUGGAUAUCUUCCAAGAACACAAUUAACAUGAGUAGAAGUAUCGCAUGUUGCACAAUCAUCAAACCAACAAUUUGGAUCUUGACUUUCUUCAUAGAUAUCACAAUGUAACACAAAAUUGGAAGUCAUUGGUAAGUGAAAGAAGAUGCUCAUAGCAUUUGUGAUGGGUUGUAAUUGGAAGUGAAAAAUAAUUAAAAUGUAGCACAAAAUUGCAAUCCUUACGCCAAAAUGCUCCCGGUGUACUAACACCACAAGCAUUGUGUUUCCCAUUGUGUUCCCCGUGUAGUAACACCACAAACAUUAUACAACACGAAUACAUAGAAUAAUUCCGAUGAAGGCCUAUUGGCUUUACUCCCCAAAACCUCCUCUCUAUAUUUAUAGUGGCCAUUGAAGAUGAGAUAAAUCUAGUAGGAGAGGAGAUGAUGCCUACCUUUGUAACUCACAUUCCUCACCAAUGUUAACCAAAUUUGCCUAUAAACUCAGUCAAUUGUUAACAAAGCUAGAAAGAAGUUAUUUUUGUAAUAUGCAACAAUUAAUUAACCCAUUAAACAACUGUUUUGAAUCUUAAAACGAACGGAAG